GAGUUUGAUCCUGGCUCAGAUUGAACGCUGGCGGCAGGCUUAACACAUGCAAGUCGAACGGUAACAGGAAGAAAGCUUGCUUUCUUUGCUGACGAGUGGCGGACGGGUGAGUAAUGCUUGGGAAUCUGGCUCAUGGAGGGGGAUAACUACGGGAAACUGUAGCUAAUACCGCGUAGUAUCGGAAGAUGAAAGUGUGGGACCGCAAGGCCACAUGCCAUGAGAUGAGCCCAAGUGGGAUUAGGUAGUUGGUUAGGUAAAGGCUGACCAAGCCGACGAUCUCUAGCUGGUCUGAGAGGAUGACCAGCCACACUGGAACUGAGACACGGUCCAGACUCCUACGGGAGGCAGCAGUGGGGAAUAUUGCACAAUGGGGGAAACCCUGAUGCAGCCAUGCCGCGUGAAUGAAGAAGGCCUUCGGGUUGUAAAGUUCUUUCGGUGAUGAGGAAGGUGUUUGUUUUAAUAGGACAAGCAAUUGACGUUAGUCACAGAAGAAGCACCGGCUAACUCCGUGCCAGCAGCCGCGGUAAUACGGAGGGUGCGAGCGUUAAUCGGAAUAACUGGGCGUAAAGGGCACGCAGGCGGUGACUUAAGUGAGAUGUGAAAGCCCCGGGCUUAACCUGGGAAUUGCAUUUCAUACUGGGUCGCUAGAGUACUUUAGGGAGGGGUAGAAUUCCACGUGUAGCGGUGAAAUGCGUAGA
Molecule: ribosomal RNA, 698 nt
Filed under: uncultured bacterium
Lineage: Bacteria
Description: bacterial SSU rRNA
Rfam family: Bacterial small subunit ribosomal RNA
Source: RNAcentral